This 230-nucleotide unclassified non-coding RNA is filed under the name Hevea brasiliensis (rubber tree). Lineage: Eukaryota; Viridiplantae; Streptophyta; Magnoliopsida; Malpighiales; Euphorbiaceae. The record is from RNAcentral.
AAUUUAAAAUUGGUCCAACUAACCAAGCAUUAAAUAAGCCAAGAGAAUAGAAAGUCACUAACUUCUCUCCUUAUUACCUCUCUGUCUCUCUCUAUAUUGACAGCUACCCUUUCUAUACCAUUACCACGAAUCACCACCACCACCUAGCUGGCUAGUCCCAAUCAAACUUUCCACUAGAAAGGAUAUCUGAAAUCAAUAUAAAAAAUAAAAAAUAAAGAGAGAGAGAGAGA